GUGUAACAGUCAUCUCUGUGGCUGUGGUGGCUGGAUCUUAAACUGUCUGCUCUUCUGGGACUGUGCAGCCUCCCACUGUGGCUGCAGCACUCCGCCCUGGCCCCUUCUCCAUCCCCUCUUGCCGAUUUCUGCUUCUGUCUGGGUAUUCCUCCCUGCCUGAGCCUCCUUUCAGCUUUUUUUGUUUGUUUGUUUUAUUGUCCAGUUGCAUUUUUAUUACAAGGAUCUGAACAUGCCCUUAUUCGCCUUCAUUCUGAGCCUCCAUAUCCGGGACCGGCCGCUCUUCUCCAGCCGUGGAGGCGUGCAGGUCUCUCUGCUGCCUGAGGGCUCUCUCUGUGCUCUCUGCUCCCAGGUGCCCAGGGUGAUUUUCUGGUGUCAUCCAGUGGGGGGUUGGUGGGGGUCGGAAGCCCAUGCUCCCCAGCUUUAGAGGCUCUUGGCUUCCAGCCUGUGCACCCUGUGCUCUGGUGACGAUGCAGCGAGAGCAUGUGCUGGGCCCUUUGUCCCCAAGCCUCCUCUCCUGCUGGGCCUUCUCCUGUCUGUAUUCCAGCCCCCAGUCCAAGCUGAGGCUGCCAUUCUGUUCCUGAAACCUGCACAUCUGACUCUCCAUCUGUGGUGGCCUCUAUGAAUGCUUGUGGGACCAGAGGGUCCUGGAGACGGCUGGAACCCAAGGUCUCCACUCAGUUUCCCGGGUCACUGCCUUCCAGAAGCUUUGAGGUGGACUCCAGUAAGCCCUGGACACUGCUGGGUCCCCCAGCUGGUGUCUCGUGACCCCGUGGGACCCACAGCCUGGUUUUCCACCCCCGGGGGCUGUGCUGAUGUACUCUUUGUUGAGUCUGUCCUAGCCAGCGACCUGGGACUGAAGAUGGACGCUUGGCUCACUUUCUGUUGUCAUUUCAGCUUAGCUACUUCUCAAUACUGCCACAGCUGGGACUACGCACUGGCUCUGUGGCGGUGGCCGUUGCCUUACCUAGGACGGAGCCCUCCUCCGCUCUGUCCCAGGUCUGUGCUCUUCCGUGCUAUGGCCCCUUGCUCCACACUGUGGAUGCCAUGACCUUGUCCCCGCCUUCCCCACGAGGACUGGGCCAGCCUCAGACCUCCAGCCUCUGUUCCCGUCUCCCUCCUGGAUCCAGGAGGCUGGGUUUCCGUUUUGGGCUGAAGGCACUGGUUCUUGGAGGGACGAUUUGCUCCUCUUGGUAACACCUGAAGACGUUGUCUCAGUAGGGAUAGGAAGUACUGGAAAUGCCCUGGUCCUUAUGGGGGGGCAGGGAUGCUGCCCCACAUCCUCCAGUGAACAGGAGGUUCCUUUGACCCCAUCAGCAGAGAAAUCUAGCCCCAACUCUCCUAAGAAGAGUGGAUGGAGGGAGCUGGAAGCAGUCAGUAGGAAGAGGCCAGGAGGACCUGGCCAGUGCUCCCACUGGUGUCCAGGAGGUGGAAGUUCACUUUUUCCCUCUCAAUGCUCGGGUUAAGCUGUGGUGUGAGUAACAGAAAGGCAGCACAGUGCGGCCACAGGGUUCUGAGCAAGCAGGGGUCCCGCAGACCCCGGUAGAGUACCUAGAUCAAAACCUUCCCCACCCUAGCACUCGCAGCGCCUUCAGAGUGAGGGGUCACCAUCCCACAAGGCCAGAAGGCCACAAGGCUCAGAGAGGUAGAGAGGCCUCCCAGAGCCACACAGCCUGAAGCCAGAAGCAGAACCUGGGCCUGAGCCUGCAUGAUCUAAAGCUGCCCUCUUGGCACUAGGGCAGACGGGAGGGGGUCUGCAGGGUGCAGGAGAUCACCUUGGAUAUGGUGGCCAGCCUCUGCUCCACGCUGGCGAGCAGGCUGGUGGAAGUCUUCUCUUGUAGCUGUAGCUGGUGCCAGAGCUGCAGCAGGGCUGCCAGCUGGGAGCUGCUGGUGUUGGCGGCGGCUGUGGACAGGAUGCCCCGCAUGACCUCGGAGGCUGUGCAGCUCUGGAAAAGAUCAGCCAGGUGCUGUGGGGGGAGGCUCACUGGGCUGGACAGAGGGCAGUCAGACUGUGUGGCACACUCCCCCGACAGCCUCGCCUCUCCGGGCCAUGCUCUCUGGUGUCUGUGCUGGCCCACUGUGGGGACUGAGGGGAGCUCAGAGUGUGCUUGAGCCCCAAGCAUCUGUGGCUGGACUCUGCAGCUUCAGGCCCAGCCUCCUUCCAGCCGAUGGCUGUGGCCAGGCCCAUUGGCCUGCAGCUCUUCUCUCUAAUGGAGCCAAUUCCCACGAUGACAGUCCCAGCCAGAAGGGGCCCCUGGGUGCUGGGGGAUGCCUUCCAUACUCUGAGCUGCAGACACACAGGGCAGAGCCAUACCUGAGACAGUGCCAGGAACUGGCAGGUGGCCACCGGGUCCAGGGUGCCGAUGCAUUCCACCAUCUCUAGGCUGGCGGCAGCUGCGAUGCCCAGGAGGCCUCUGUCCAGGGCUACCUGCAGGCACUGCAGCAGCACCUCAGAGGUCUGGGCCAGGUACCUCUGGGCCAGCACCAUCCUCCUCUGCAGGUAGAAAGGGCUCAGGCUCAGUGCUGUGCGGACAGAGGCCACUGGGGGGCAGCAGUAAUGCACAUACCCUCAGACUCUCGCCCUUUUUGCAGUUCCCCUCAGGGGCUGCUCCGAGGGCUGGCAGGUCCCUGAGAAAGGCCUUGGCACUCUUGUUCUCUGCUUCUUGCUCUAGAGAUCGGAGCCUGCUCAGCUUAGCGCCCACCUACAAAGCACACAGCAGGAGGCAGAGGGCACUGUGGAUUCCUGCUUGGUCAGCAGGGGUCCCCAGGGCCACUGUAGACUGAGUUCUGGCCUUCCACCGCCCGAAGCCUGCCUGCCCUUGUCCAAGCCUGAUUUAGUGGACUUGGGAAGGUUUUGGUCUGAGGGCCUGAGCUGAUUGCCAGCUGCCACCAGGUGGGGAGGUGGCACUCAGGGAGACCAAGCACCCUGGUCUUGGGACAGAGGCAUCAGGCUGGCGUGGCAGCACCAAGCUGAGGUGCCCACCUGUGCUCUGGGAGCUCAGUCUGGCCAGGAAACAAACAGAAGGAAGGGAAGGGGAAGGGCAGGUCAAGGGAGAGUGGCCAGGGAACUGGGGCUGAUGGUGAGCCCUGGAUGUGUGUAGCCCAGGGUCACAGUCCUAGUGGGACACUGCAGACUGUCUCAGUCCCUGGGGGUCAGGUAGAGGGGAAUCCAGAGGCUGUGCAGGGCCCAGGUGGCCUUGGUCUAGAGACAGCCAGAGCCUGCUGCCCCACUGAUGCCCGAGCGAGCAGAAUGUCCACCAGACCCACCAGCACUGGGCCACACAGCCUCAGCCAACCCAGGAGACUGGGAUCCCCGGCCCAGUUUCCAAACACAACCAUCAGACUGGAAAUCAGUGACGAUGAGGCCUGUGGACAGCACGCUCAGAAUCACCCCCCGCGUUGGCCAGGAAUCCCACGGAGCUUAGGAAACAGAGAGUGAAAUGGUCCCAGGGCAGACCUGGAGACUUGGCCCCAGCAGAGCUCCGAGGAGGGGUGCCUCCUGGAAGAGGAGAAGGAGGCCAGAGACGACUCCGACUUUCCCCAGAGGCCCAGCAGCCAGGAGGAAGGAACAGGUCUACUGCGGAGCCUGGACUGGGAAGCGGGAUCACCUACCGAGAAGCCGUCUUCCCAGCACAAGUCGGGGCGAAGAGGGUCUGCCUGCAUGGCCAGCAGGUGCAGGGCCCUCCCGGCCAGGCCCAGGAGCUGGGCACGGAUCUCCACGCAGCCAGCGCUCAGUGGCUGCAGGCUCUCCAGCUGUGCCAGCACCGAGUGGGCCAGGGUGCGCUUCAGCAUGAACCAUUGCUUCAGGGGGAGGAGAGGCUUUGUCAAGACCAGGGGCCUCUCUGCGGCCUCUACCUGCCCACCACAUGGCGCAGCCCACCAGCCCUUAACAGGCCCUGGGAGGUGGGGUGGGGGUCUCCAGGGCUUAGGUGUGGGAAGGCCAAACUGUGUUCUUAUAUAACCUUGACUGGCAGCUCACUGGAAUAUCAAGUUCAAUUUCAGGGCUGUCUUUGGUUCAUUUGUAUUUAUGUCAAAUUGGUUUGAUUCAUAUUUCAUGAUAUCUAAGCAAAUGUAAAAUGGAAGGGUUCAUAUUUCCUUCCAAAUAUCUUGCAUAUUCAAUUCAUUUUUUGUUUUUGCUUUUGCGGUACUGGGGCUGAAACGGGGGCCUUGUGCUGCUGGUCAAGCCUGUACCCCUGAGCCACACCCCAGCCUGCCUCUGGGUCUUUUUAAGUGCAGUGUGGCCCUCCACUGUCCCUCUGCAGCCCACUGGCCACUCAGCUGAAGCCCAGCGCUAUCACACCAUUAGUCUCAAGACCUGGGGGACAACCCUGAGGUGGCACAGGGAGCACCUGCUCUACUUAGCCAGGUGCUUACUGCUGCAAACCCCAGGUCCCUGCCCAGGACUGCGCCAGAAACAUCUUUGCAAUGAUGGACAUUUUUUCCUUGAAUUCAAACACUUUCCCUUUUGAUUUCUUCUGUGGCCCAUAGCUGUAUGAGUGUAGGCUUUUUAAUUUCCAACUAUUUGGGGCUUCCCACAUAUAUAGCUUUUGAUUUUUUGAAUUGAGGUAAAAAGUAUAUAACAUAAAAUCAACCAUUUUAAAGUGUACAAUCAGGGGCCACCACAUGGUGCAAGCUUCAGCUCUUGUUCCUGAACAUGUUCAUCCCUCCUGGGAAAGGCCUUGUCCCCCAGGUCAGCCUUCACCUUCCUCAUUGCACCCCCCACACCCCCUAGUCUGCUUCCAGUAACUGUGGAUCCAUCCAUUUCAAUUUUAACUCCACUGUGGUGCCAGUGCAGGCUUUGUCUGACUUAAAUCCUUUGACUUCAUUGAGACUUGUUUCAUGGUACAGAAUAUAGUCUGUGUUGAAGGUUCUUUGAGCACGUGAGAGAAGGUCAUCCACUGUUGUUGGUUGGGUGGGAUACUUUAUAAAGAGCUGUCAGAGCCUAUUGACUGACUGAUUCAGAUCCUCCAGUCCUUUGCUCAUUUUCUUCCUACUCAUUCCACUAAUGAUUGAGAGGAAAUUGAAAUUUUUCACCAUAAUCAUAGAUUUGUCUCUGCCUUCAUUGUAAUUUUAAAAAGUCAGGUUUUACUUAAUUUUUUUUUUUAGAAAAUCAGCCACUUUGGAAAGUAGCAUGGAGAUUCCUCAAAAAAUCUGGAAUGGAACUAGCAUAUGACCCAGCUAUCCCCCUCUUUGGUAUUUAUCCAAAAGAGUCACUAUAGUGACACUACAUUCUCACGUUUAUACAGUGCCACCCACAAUCACCAAGUUAGGGAACCUCAGUGCCUACCUCCAUGGGCUAAUAAAAUGUGGAGCAUAUACA
This is a non-coding RNA of Ictidomys tridecemlineatus (thirteen-lined ground squirrel), 5317 nucleotides long. NCBI's taxonomy places the organism in Eukaryota, Metazoa, Chordata, Mammalia, Rodentia, Sciuridae. The record is from RefSeq and is a predicted model, not a curated record.